AUUGAACGCUGGCGGCAGGCCUAACACAUGCAAGUCGAGCGGAUGAAGGGAGCUUGCUCCUGGAUUCAGCGGCGGACGGGUGAGUAAUGCCUAGGAAUCUGCCUGGUAGUGGGGGAUAACGUCCGGGAACGGGCGCUAAUACCGCAUACGUCCUGAGGGAGAAAGUGGGGGAUCUUCGGACCUCACGCUAUCAGAUGAGCCUAGGUCGGAUUAGCUAGUUGGUGGGGUAAAGGCCUACCAAGGCGACGAUCCGUAACUGGUCUGAGAGGAUGAUCAGUCACACUGGAACUGAGACACGGUCCAGACUCCUACGGGAGGCAGCAGUGGGGAAUAUUGGCCAAUGGGCGAAAGCCUGAUCCAGCCAGGCCGCGUGUGUGAAGAAGGUCUUCGGAUUGUAAAGCACUUUAGGUUGGGAGGAAGGGAAGUAAGUUAAUACCUUGCUGUUUUGACGUUACCAACAGAAUAAGCACCGGCUAACUUCUU
Molecule: ribosomal RNA, 483 nt
Filed under: uncultured bacterium
Lineage: Bacteria
Description: partial 16S ribosomal RNA
Rfam family: Bacterial small subunit ribosomal RNA
Source: RNAcentral